UUCGAUCAAGACCGAUGGGGGGACGCAGACUUGAGGUCUACCUGCGCAAUGGUUUCAAGGGUAGGCUGAAGGGAGAUCCGGAUUGGUAAAUCCGCCGGGUCGUCUGCCAGGAAAAGCCUCUAAGGAGAGUUAGGUAUCCGUACCACAAACCGACACAGGUGGACGAGAUGAAUAUUCUAAGGCGCUCGGGUGAUGGUUUGUUCAGGAACUAGGCACAUUAGCUCCGUAACUUCGGGAGAAGGAGUGCCCACGCAAGUGGGUCGCAGUGAAGAGUCUCAGGCGACUGUUUAACAAAAACACAGGUCUCUGCUAAGUCGAAAACGACGUAUAGGGGCUGACGCCUGCCCGGUGCCGGAAGGUUAAAGGGAGAGGUUAGCGCAAGCGAAGCUUUGAACUGAAGCCCCGGUGAACGACGGCCGUAACUACAACGGUCCUAAGGUAGCGAAAUUCCUUGUCGGGUAAGUUCCGACCUGCACGAAUGGCGUAACGAUCUGAGAACUGUCUUAACAAGCCGCCCGGCGAAUUUGUGGUCCCGGUGAAGACGCCGGGUGCCCGCCACUAGACGGAAAGACCCCGUGCACCUUUACUAUACCUUUUCAUUGAACUAUGGGGCCAUCUGCGCAGGAUAGGUGGGAGGCUUUGAUUCCGGGCUCUCGGGCUCGGAGGAGCCAACGGUGAGAUACCACCCUGAUGGUUCUGUGGUUCUAACCUACUCCCGUAAUCCGGGAGAGGGACAAUGGAAGGCGGGUAGUUUGACUGGGGCGGUCGCCUCCUAAACGGUAACGGAGGCGCGCGAAGCUUGGUUCAGGCUGUUUGGAAAUCAGCCGACGAGUGCAAAAGCAUAAACCAGGUUAACUGCGGGACCUACAAGUCGAGCAGAUACGAAAGUAGGCUUUAGUGAUCCGGUGGUUCUGUAUGGAAGGGCCAUCGCUCAACGGAUAAAAGGUACGCCGGGGAUAACAGGCUGAUCGGAGUCAAGAGUUCACAUCGACGCUCCGGUUUGGCACCUGGAUGCCGGCUCAUCGCAUCCUGGGGGUGUAGAAGCUCCCAAGGGUUAGGCUGUUCGCCUAUUGAAGCGGUACGUGAGCUGGGUUCAGAACGUCGCGAGACAGUUCGGUCCCUAUCUGUGGUGGGCGUAGGAGAUUUGAGGGGGCCUGCCCUUAGUACGAGAGGACCGGGGUGGACGAACCUCUUGUGAUCCAGUUGUCACGCCAGUGGCACCGCUGGGUAGCGAAGUUCGGUCAGGAUAAGCGCUGAAUGCAUAUAAGCGCGAAACCUUCCCCAAGAUGAGAUCUCCCAGCCGAAAGGCUAUGAAGGGCACAGGUAGACUACCUGUUUGAUAGGACGGAUGUGUAAGCGUAGCAAUACGUUGAGCUUACCGUUACUAAUUGCCCGUUCGGCUUGACCAU
Molecule: ribosomal RNA, 1409 nt
Filed under: metagenome
Description: bacterial LSU rRNA
Rfam family: Bacterial large subunit ribosomal RNA
Source: RNAcentral